This 269-nucleotide unclassified non-coding RNA is filed under the name uncultured fungus. Its description in RNAcentral is "partial contains 5.8S ribosomal RNA, internal transcribed spacer 2, and large subunit ribosomal RNA". Lineage: Eukaryota; Fungi. The record is from RNAcentral.
AACGCACAUUGCGCCCUCUGGUAUUCCGGGGGGCAUGCCUGUCCGAGCGUCAUUGUGACCCCCUCAAGCCCGGCUUGUGUGAUGGGCCAUCGUCCCCCGCCUUGGGGGGACGGGCCUGAAAGGCAGCGGCGACGUCCACCGCCUGACCGGAACGCAUGGGGACUUCUGUCACGCGUUUCAGGUUGGCGGGUCGGUGUCGGCCUCGUCUUGCAUCGUCAACCCCUUCAACCGUUGACCUCGGAUCAGGUAGGGAUACCCGCUGAACUUAA